Molecule: ribosomal RNA, 679 nt
Filed under: Escherichia sp.
Lineage: Bacteria; Pseudomonadati; Pseudomonadota; Gammaproteobacteria; Enterobacterales; Enterobacteriaceae
Description: bacterial SSU rRNA
Rfam family: Bacterial small subunit ribosomal RNA
Source: RNAcentral
AGCUUGCUUCUUUGCUGACGAGUGGCGGACGGGUGAGUAAUGUCUGGGAAACUGCCUGAUGGAGGGGGAUAACUACUGGAAACGGUAGCUAAUACCGCAUAACGUCGCAAGACCAAAGAGGGGGACCUUCGGGCCUCUUGCCAUCGGAUGUGCCCAGAUGGGAUUAGCUAGUAGGUGGGGUAACGGCUCACCUAGGCGACGAUCCCUAGCUGGUCUGAGAGGAUGACCAGCCACACUGGAACUGAGACACGGUCCAGACUCCUACGGGAGGCAGCAGUGGGGAAUAUUGCACAAUGGGCGCAAGCCUGAUGCAGCCAUGCCGCGUGUAUGAAGAAGGCCUUCGGGUUGUAAAGUACUUUCAGCGGGGAGGAAGGGAGUAAAGUUAAUACCUUUGCUCAUUGACGUUACCCGCAGAAGAAGCACCGGCUAACUCCGUGCCAGCAGCCGCGGUAAUACGGAGGGUGCAAGCGUUAAUCGGAAUUACUGGGCGUAAAGCGCACGCAGGCGGUUUGUUAAGUCAGAUGUGAAAUCCCCGGGCUCAACCUGGGAACUGCAUCUGAUACUGGCAAGCUUGAGUCUCGUAGAGGGGGGUAGAAUUCCAGGUGUAGCGGUGAAAUGCGUAGAGAUCUGGAGGAAUACCGGUGGCGAAGGCGGCCCCCUGACGAAGACUGACGCUCAG